GAGCGUUAAUCGGAAUUACUGGGCGUAAAGCGCAUGCAGGCGGUUUGUUAAGUCAGAUGUGAAAGCCCGGGGCUCAACCUCGGAACCGCAUUUGAAACUGGCAGGCUAGAGUCUUGUAGAGGGGGGUAGAAUUUCAGGUGUAGCGGUGAAAUGCGUAGAGAUCUGAAGGAAUACCAGUGGCGAAGGCGGCCCCCUGGACAAAGACUGACGCUCAGAUGCGAAAGCGGGGGUAGCAAACAGGAUUAGAUACCCUGGUAGUCCACGCCGUAAACGCUGUCUACUUGGAGGUUGAGGUUUAAGACUUUGGCUUUCGGCGCUAACGCAUUAAGUAGACCGCCUGGGGAGUACGGCCGCAAGGUUAAAACUCAAAUGAAUUGACGGGGGCCCGCACAAGCGGUGGAGCAUGUGGUUUAAUUCGAUGCAACGCGAAGAACCUUACCUACUCUUGACAUCCAGAGAACUUUCCAGAGAUGGAUUGGUGCCUUCGGGAACUCUGAGACAGGUGCUGCAUGGCUGUCGUCAGCUCGUGUUGUGAAAUGUUGGGUUAAGUCCCGCAACGAGCGCAACCCUUAUCCUUGUUUGCCAGCACGUAAUGGUGGGAACUCCAGGGAGACUGCCGGUGAUAAACCGGAGGAAGGUGGGGACGACGUCAAGUCAUCAUGGCCCUUACGAGUAGGGCUACACACGUGCUACAAUGGCAGAUACAGAGGGCAGCGAAGCUGCGAAGUGGAGCGAAUCCCUUAAAGUUUGUCGUAGUCCGGAUUGGAGUCUGCAACUCGACUCCAUGAAGUCGGAA
Molecule: ribosomal RNA, 796 nt
Filed under: uncultured Salinivibrio sp.
Lineage: Bacteria; Pseudomonadati; Pseudomonadota; Gammaproteobacteria; Vibrionales; Vibrionaceae
Description: bacterial SSU rRNA
Rfam family: Bacterial small subunit ribosomal RNA
Source: RNAcentral